GAUGAACGCUGGCGGCGUGCCUAAUACAUGCAAGUCGAGCGAACAGAUGAGGAGCUUGCUCCUCUGACGUUAGCGGCGGACGGGUGAGUAACACGUGGAUAACCUACCUAUAAGACUGGGAUAACUUCGGGAAACCGGAGCUAAUACCGGAUAAUAUAUUGAACCGCAUGGUUCAAUAGUAAAAGACGGUUUUGCUGUCACUUAUAGAUGGAUCCGCGCCGCAUUAGCUAGUUGGUAAGGUAACGGCUUACCAAGGCAACGAUGCGUAGCCGACCUGAGAGGGUGAUCGGCCACACUGGAACUGAGACACGGUCCAGACUCCUACGGGAGGCAGCAGUAGGGAAUCUUCCGCAAUGAGCGAAAGCCUGACGGAGCAACGCCGCGUGAGUGAUGAAGGUCUUCGGAUCGUAAAACUCUGUUAUUAGGGAAGAACAAAUGUGUAAGUAACUAUGCACGUCUUGACGGUACCUAAUCAGAAAGCCACGGCUAACUACGUG
RNAcentral lists this ribosomal RNA (497 nucleotides) under uncultured bacterium. RNAcentral's name for it is "partial 16S ribosomal RNA". It matches the Rfam family "Bacterial small subunit ribosomal RNA", at positions 28 to 507 of the family's 1533-position model. The record is from RNAcentral.